Molecule: unclassified non-coding RNA, 342 nt
Organism: Homo sapiens (human)
Lineage: Eukaryota; Metazoa; Chordata; Mammalia; Primates; Hominidae
Source: Ensembl
GGAUGUAAGGAUGAUCUGGCUGCUUCAUCUGUCACCCCAUUGAUUGCAGGGUUGAUCUGGCUAAUCUAGCUGGCCUAGGCAGGUGUCCCCCUUCCCCCCUCACUGCUCCAUGUGUGUCUCUCUGGAAGCUGAGCACUCUGUUGAAUACGAUGACUAUCCCUGAUAGAGGAGGACCGGUCUUUGGUCAAGGGUAUACGAGUAGCUGUUCUCCCUCAAAAAUCUCCGAACAAAUUCUCAAAAUUAGUGCAAAGUCUGAUGUCAACUCUUCUGGUCUUUCUCGAGUUUUUACAGCCUUCAAACCCAGCUCUUCAUUCUGCUUUAAUUUAUCUAGGAUAUAAAGUA